AAUAUAUAAAAUAUAUAUAUUUAUAAAAUAAGUGAAAUGCAGGUCGAUAAUAAAUCACGUAGAUAAAAUUUUUCCCGUUAAUCAAUACUGGCUCAGAAUUUCAUUACAUUUUACAAAGCUUUGAGUAUCAGACAUAUAUCAUAUCAUCUCUGUCAACAUCAACGGUACCAAAUUAAAGAGGGGUUCUGACAAACCUUUGGCAAUCCUAAAUGCAAACAAUACCAAGGUUGAAAGCACUCACUUCGCAAGAUAUGACUCUACAACAUCAGCCCUGUUGCCUUUCAUAACCUUCUAGUAGACUCCACCUCUACUUUUGUUGGAUCCGACUCUCCAUUCAAUGAGCUUAUUCAUUGCAAUGCUUCUUAGUUCUCAUAUAUAUGAGAGGCCAAGCACAGAAUUGGCCAAGCAUCACAGUAAGGGUUGCUAACGUGUAAUUGAUCUACAAACUAGACGACCAAUUGAAACCAAAAAACCUGGUGACAGUACACUGCAGAAGCACAAUAGUAAGGCAAAGACUAGAAUAGCUGAAAAGAAUUGGGAUAACAUGUGCCCCUGUCCUCCCUCACAACUUCCCUUAAAAUGCAUGCUGGACCAAAAAUGAGAGUAAAACAGGCACAUAUACCAAGAAGCAGACAAUCAUAGUAUUCGGGAUAGUUAUAAACAUAGAUUAUAGACGGCACACACCCCUUGUUAGAUACAUAUGCAUGCAACCAAUCUCCUCAUUUCAACGUUAAUCAUCAUAACAAUACAUCCAAAUCAAACAAUACUAGCCUAGGCAGAUCAUUGAACUAAGCGAAUACCACUAUCAGCUGAAUGUCCAACCCAAAAUCAUCAGUAAAGGAUAAUCAGUAUCACCCUCUAGCAUUUGGGUCAUAGCCAGUGAUUACUCAAGUUUGAACUAUUACUAUCACUACAGAGCGACCUGCCUUUAAACCAACAAUUCAUAUCAACCAGUGUGCUCGGUCUUCAUGUCACUAUGCCACUGCCAUCACAUCAUAAUAAAUAAUAAUAUUAGUCAUUUAUAGCAUUCAUUCACUAUAUCCUCGGUUCAAAACUUGAAGAUGCCUCAGGGCAUCAUAUCCAUCCAUGCGCUUAAUUACAAUAAUUUAAAUGAGAUGCAAUGCAUGUUAUGUCUUACGAGGGAAUAAGCAAUAGGAUGUAUACUAAAAUAGAUCAAGUCCACUAACAAAUUCAAUAACCACAAGCUUGCUCAACCCUAAUAGGCAUUUGAUGGAUAAAGAGUGGUGUCCAAAGGAUCUAGCAAAAUAAACCAAUAACACAUAUCAAAAAGGAGUGAGAGUGAACUCCAAAAGGAGUACUAGUCAAUUGUGGACAUCUUAAACUUCUCAUCCCAAAUCAAUCCUAAUUCGAUAACUGAUGUAUUUUCAAUUAAGAAGUAGAGGCAAAGCUAAGUUGAUUGUCACAUCUCCCUUUUGAAAUGGACGGUCAAAGUAUUAAUAGCCCCCCCAACUAUCAAAUGCAGGGGGAAAAAUAGCAUUUCACUUCUAACUAGAUUGAUUUGAGCAAUUACAAAAUUACUUCACCUUCCUUGCCCCCAAUCCAACAUGUAAAAUCAGCACUAUUAAGCAACAUUAUCACUAAAGAAAAAAAGGACUAACCAAACUCAGUACUAAAGUAAAAGUGGAAAAACCUUCAGCAAUGAUUUUUCUCUCCCAUUAAUUAAACAAGCUUUAGUUUCAUUUCAAAAGAGUUCAAACCUAGUCUACACAACAUUAGGUUUUUAGCGGCCAAGUGCCAACAUUAGCUUCCCAGCUUCAAGGAACAACAUCAAGUAGAUCUCUAAGGGGGGAAAAAAAUAGGAACAUUAAAGUGGUUGUUUAUGUUAAAAUAGGUAAGUUUAAUUAAUCAAUGUUAAAUAGACAAGUUCAUUUAAUCAUUUUACCACUUCUGAUAGUUGGCUUUUUGAAAUGAUUAUCAUAUUCCAUUACAAAACUGAUUCUUAGGAUCUGAAUUCCAAAUCCCUUCUUUUAUUUGCCCAACAUUUUUAUCAAUCUUAAGCUGUUUUAAGUCCAUCCUUCAUUAGCUUAAUUGUCUUCAAUAGAUUCAUUUUCUCCACAAGACUAAUCCCAACAUAAACAAAAAACAAUGUGUCCAAGAGACGAGGGUGAAUUGGACAAUAAUCUUAAGCUUGCAUAAAUCCCUUUUUGACAAACCAAGCAAAUAUUCAAUCAAGCAUCUACCACAAGUAUAUCGAGCAAUUUUAAAUUUGAAGUGCUGAAAAUUAACGAGUGAAGAGAAUAGCAAACAAAUCCUUAUAGACGCCAUACGAAUGCUUGCCUGCCUGUUAUUAUUGUUUACUAACUCUAUUAGCAGCAUAUGACUAAUCCAAUCACACUUAAGAUGCAAUAAACAAUCUCUUAGCAUAACUUCUAGAAUAUUAUUUGUUCUCUUUGUAUGCCUAUCAAUAUGAGGAUCAGUUACAAGCGAAAUUUCUAAUUUCUCCCUGUACAAUACUACAAACUUCUUCAAAACUUUAAGACAAAUUGAGCAUCUAUAUCAGGCACAAUCCUUAUUAGAACUCCAGGUAAACAAUUAUCACUUUAUUAAACUAUUGGUAAAUUAUCACACCUUAGGUCAGUGUUGUCAAAAGCGCUAGAAGCCCUUAAAACAAAAUGGUCCUCCAUCGCUCAAGGCUCCAAGCACUUGCCUAGGCGCUUGCCCAAGUGAAGUGAGGCGCAAAUUCAUUCUAAAAUAAUAAAUAAUUAAAUAUACAAUGUAAAAAAAUCUUACAUGUUAUACAAUCCAUGAAUUGCUCGCCUUUUUCUCGUCUGGGGGCUCCUGGUGACGCUUCGCUUGGGCGCCUAGUUGAAGGAACCUUGCCUAGAGGCUUCCUAGGCAAGAUGUCUAGAUUUCGCGUUGCCUGGGCGCCUCUUGACAACACUGCCAUUUUGGCUGUGGCAAUAGGGAUCCCUAAAACUAAUGUUCGGAUUUGGACUAUCAUUUAUGGUGCUCUUUUAUUGAUUAAAAUUUGCCUACCUCUUGAAGGUUAUGCAUUCUUAGGUAAUUUCCCUUGCACUGCUCCUAGAAGUUCUUAUGAUGAGCUGUUUCCUGUGUUUAUAUGAUGGCAUUAAUUAGUUGACUAUUGCACUAUUUAAAUUAUUUGUAAUGUUUCACAAAAAUCGUUUAGAGUGGAGAAAGAGAAUCCAUAUAGCCGACCCUAAUAAAUUUUUGAGAUAAAAACUUAGUUUAGUUGAGUUGGGUUGUGCUUGUUGCUUGUUGGGCAUUCUACGAAUCAAUUCUUUGAGUUUUGCUCUCGGCCUCUUGCUUGGAGUUGUAAGACUGUACAGAAGUGUGUUUGUUGUGCAUUCUUGAAAAACUGAUGUUCCGAACUGAUCUGAUUUGGUUUGGUUCGGUUUGAUUUGGUUCUUCUCUUAUUUCGGUUCGGUUUCAGUUGGUAUUUUACAUGAAAUCGGUUUUUGGUUUUAUGAACAGGCCAAAUGCUCUCUCCUAGUCACUUUCAUUAUUUUUUAUGAUUGUGUUGUGAGUGCAAGUAUGUCCAAAUUGGUUUGCUUUUGCUUUAGCUGCCUUUGAUUUAUAGCCUUUCUCAGUUGUUUUAAUCUUGUGUUGGCUUUUAAGUAUAUAAGCUUUUGGGCUUAUGUUGAAGGCUUUUGUUGCUAAGUGCAUCUCAGUUUAAUCCUUUUAAUGUAGGUAAGCACAGUGAGUGGGUACACGCAGGAAAUAUAAUUUAAACCAUUGGAGUGUUACCGUCCCAAAGUAAUCACUUUAAAU
Molecule: unclassified non-coding RNA, 3750 nt
Filed under: Hevea brasiliensis (rubber tree)
Lineage: Eukaryota; Viridiplantae; Streptophyta; Magnoliopsida; Malpighiales; Euphorbiaceae
Source: RNAcentral